RNAcentral lists this ribosomal RNA (253 nucleotides) under uncultured bacterium. RNAcentral describes it as "partial 16S ribosomal RNA". It matches the Rfam family "Bacterial small subunit ribosomal RNA", at positions 524 to 776 of the family's 1533-position model. The record is from RNAcentral.
UACGGAGGUCUCAAGCGUUGUUCGGAUUCAUUGGGCGUAAAGGGUGCGUAGGCGGCGCGGUAAGUCGGGUGUGAAAUUUCGGAGCUUAACUCCGAAACUGCAUUCGAUACUGCCGUGCUUGAGGACUGGAGAGGAGACUGGAAUUUACGGUGUAGCAGUGAAAUGCGUAGAUAUCUGGAGGAACACCGGUGGCGAAGGCGGCGUUCUGGACUGCAACUGACACUGAAAAACGAAAGCCAGGGGAGCAAACAGG